CGAACGCUGGCGGCAGGCCUAACACAUGCAAGUCGAACGAACCUUUCGGGGUUAGUGGCGGACGGGUGAGUAACACGUGGGAACGUGCCUUUAGGUUCGGAAUAACUCAGGGAAACUUGUGCUAAUACCGAAUGUGCCCUUCGGGGGAAAGAUUUAUCGCCUUUAGAGCGGCCCGCGUCUGAUUAGCUAGUUGGUUGAGGUAAUGGCUCACCAAGGCGACGAUCAGUAGCUGGUCUGAGAGGAUGAUCAGCCACAUUGGGACUGAGACACGGCCCAAACUCCUACGGGAGGCAGCAGUGGGGAAUCUUGCGCAAUGGGCGAAAGCCUGACGCAGCCAUGCCGCGUGAAUGAUGAAGGUCUUAGGAUUGUAAAAUUCUUUCACCGGGGACGAUAAUGACGGUACCCGGAGAAGAAGCCCCGGCUAACUUCGU
This 431-nucleotide ribosomal RNA is filed under the name uncultured bacterium. Its description in RNAcentral is "partial 16S ribosomal RNA". It matches the Rfam family "Bacterial small subunit ribosomal RNA", at positions 30 to 506 of the family's 1533-position model. The record is from RNAcentral.